RNAcentral lists this ribosomal RNA (528 nucleotides) under Triticum aestivum (bread wheat). RNAcentral describes it as "partial small subunit ribosomal RNA". Lineage: Eukaryota; Viridiplantae; Streptophyta; Magnoliopsida; Poales; Poaceae. The record is from RNAcentral.
AUGUCUCCAUUCCAGGCCCUGUAUGGAUUUCCCCCACCUUUAAUCUCAGAGUUGGCAAUCCCUGGCCCUGAGGAUGAGGAAGCACAAGAUUUCCUUUCUUCCAAACAACAGAUGCUGGAACACUUGAAGGACAAUUUGUGCAAAGCUCAAAACAGGAUGAAGAGAUAUGCAGAUCUCAAGAGAGUGGAAAGAAUUUUCUCAGUGGGAGAUAUGGUUUAUCUGAAAAUGGCCUCAUACAGAUUAGCUGCUUUUGGAUUCAUAGGUGCUCUCAAGCUUCAGAAUAAAUACUACGGUCCUUUCCUCAUAAUUCAGAAGGUGGGCAAUUCGGCAUACAAGCUUCAAUUCCCUCAAGGAGUUCAGAUACACCCAGUAUUCCACGUGAGCCAACUCAAGAAACACAUUGGCAGCAAAGCAAUUCCCAGCCCACUGUUGCCUAUGGUUAACAGUGAUGGCACAAUCAAAACGGGCCCGGAAGCACUCAGGUCAGGCAGAUACCGCGGAACAAUUUACCCGUGGUGCAGUGGUUGA